Molecule: ribosomal RNA, 254 nt
Filed under: uncultured bacterium
Lineage: Bacteria
Description: partial 16S ribosomal RNA
Rfam family: Bacterial small subunit ribosomal RNA
Source: RNAcentral
CACGUAGGGGGCAAGCGUUGUCCGGAUUUAUUGGGCGUAAAGAGCUCGUAGGCGGCUUAGUAAGUCGGGUGUGAAACCUCCAGGCUCAACCUGGAGACGCCACCCGAUACUGCUGUGGCUAGAGUCCGGUAGGGGAGCGUGGAAUUCCUGGUGUAGCGGUGGAAUGCGCAGAUAUCAGGAGGAACACCGAUGGCGAAGGCAGGUCACUGGGCCACUACUGACGCUGAGGAGCGAAAGCAUGGGGAGCGAACAGG